GCGCCCGUAGCUUAAGUGGAUAGAGCAGUAGCUUCCGGAGCUACCAAAUAUGGGUUCAAAUCCCUUCGGGCGCG
RNAcentral lists this transfer RNA (74 nucleotides) under bacterium. RNAcentral's name for it is "tRNA-Arg". It matches the Rfam family "tRNA". From Rfam's summary of the family: Transfer RNA (tRNA) molecules are approximately 80 nucleotides in length. Their secondary structure includes four short double-helical elements and three loops (D, anti-codon, and T loops). RNAcentral also lists the same sequence under 1 other name. The record is from RNAcentral.